UUAUGGCUCAGGAUGAACGCUAGCUACAGGCUUAACACAUGCAAGUCGAGGGGCAGCAUGAUCGAAGCUUGCUUUGAUUGAUGGCGACCGGCGCACGGGUGAGUAACGCGUAUCCAACCUUCCCUAUAGUAGAGGAUAGCCCGGCGAAAGUCGGAUUAAUACUCUAUGUUUUCCAAUGCAGACAUCUAAGUUGGAACAAAGGUUCACCGCUAUAGGAUGGGGAUGCGUCUGAUUAGGUUGUUGGCGGGGUAACGGCCCACCAAGCCUACGAUCAGUAGGGGUUCUGAGAGGAAGGUCCCCCACAUUGGAACUGAGACACGGUCCAAACUCCUACGGGAGGCAGCAGUGAGGAAUAUUGGUCAAUGGGCGAGAGCCUGAACCAGCCAAAGUAGCGUGCAGGAUGACGGCCCUAUGGGUUGUAAACUGCUUUUAUACGGGGAUAAAGUGAGGGACGUGUCCCUUUUUGUAGGUACCGUAUGAAUAAGGACCGGCUAAUUCCGUGCCAGCCGCAGC
RNAcentral lists this ribosomal RNA (513 nucleotides) under uncultured bacterium. RNAcentral's name for it is "bacterial SSU rRNA". It matches the Rfam family "Bacterial small subunit ribosomal RNA", at positions 17 to 518 of the family's 1533-position model. The record is from RNAcentral.